CCGUGACUGAGCCAAUCGCCGUGCAGCCCUGAGAUUACAUGACCGCUGCAGCUGAUCCCUGUUGAUUAUACACCGCUGACCCCCAUUCUGAUUUCCAUGAACCUAAAUUGGUUCGGGAGAAAUGCUGUACAACCCCAUUUCUUUUCUGUGUAAUAAACGCGGAGGAGACCCCUGGAAACGCGCAGGAAACCCCAGGCAAUGCGCAGGAAACGCCUGGCACCACGCAGGAAACCCCUGGCACCGCGCAGGAAACCCCUGGCACCGCGCAGGAAACCCAUAGCAACGUGCUGGAGACCCCUGGCAAUGCGCAUGAAACCCCUGGCAACGCGCAGUACCCUUCAAGCAUGGAAGAGUGAAUAGAUAUUGGGAAUGAAUUUGAGAGCCGUUGGCAGUUCCCUAACUGCAGAGGAACUAUUUAUGGCAAGCAUAUUUGCAUUACCCCACCUCCCACCAGUGGGUGGUUCUACUAUAAUUACAAAGGGUACUUCAGUGUGGCUCUAAUGGGGGUGAUGAACGCCAACUACGAGUUUCUGUUCAUAGAUGUGGGGAAGAACGGUCGUGCCUGCAUUUACCAUCUAGCAUGCUUUGUCCUGUACAAUUCCCUGUCCAAAAAGGUCAGAGAGGAAUAUAUAGCCUACUUCAAUGGAGACGGUGUGGUGCCAUGGCAGGAGGAGUACAGUACAUAUGAUAAAGUGAAGGGGAACUGGAGGGCACUGUAGAGCAAUUGUCAUUUCUGCCUUUUGAGAUUGCUGGGACUCUAAUUACUGAUGAGGCUUCAGGUGACUCACCCAGAUCCUCUUUCUCGG
Molecule: long non-coding RNA, 806 nt
Organism: Pseudophryne corroboree (corroboree frog)
Lineage: Eukaryota; Metazoa; Chordata; Amphibia; Anura; Myobatrachidae
Exons: 3
Source: RefSeq, a predicted model, not a curated record